GACGAACGCUGGCGGCGUGCCUAAUACAUGCAAGUUGAGCGAUGAAGAUUGGUGCUUGCCCCAAUUUGAAGAGCAGCGAACGGGUGAGUAACGCGUGGGGAAUCUGCCUUUGAGCGGGGGACAACAUUUGGAAAUGAAUGCUAAUACCGCAUAACAACUUUAAACAUAAGUUUUAAGUUUGAAAGAUGCAAUUGCAUCACUCAAAGAUGAUCCCGCGUUGUAUUAGCUAGUUGGUGAGGUAAAGGCUCACCAAGGCGAUGAUACAUAGCCGACCUGAGAGGGUGAUCGGCCACAUUGGGACUGAGACACGGCCCAAACUCCUACGGGAGGCAGCAGUAGGGAAUCUUCGGCAAUGGACGAAAGUCUGACCGAGCAACGCCGCGUGAGUGAAGAAGGUUUUCGGAUCGUAAAACUCUGUUGGUAGAGAAGAACGUUGGUGAGAGUGGAAAGCUCAUCAAGUGACGGUAACUACCCAGAAAGGGACGGCUAACUACGUG
Molecule: ribosomal RNA, 497 nt
Filed under: uncultured bacterium
Lineage: Bacteria
Description: partial 16S ribosomal RNA
Rfam family: Bacterial small subunit ribosomal RNA
Source: RNAcentral